This is a long non-coding RNA of Misgurnus anguillicaudatus (oriental weatherfish), 504 nucleotides long. RefSeq lists it as uncharacterized. NCBI's taxonomy places the organism in Eukaryota, Metazoa, Chordata, Actinopteri, Cypriniformes, Cobitidae. The record is from RefSeq and is a predicted model, not a curated record.
UUACAACCAUUUACAAUGCUACAACUGUUACCAUAGUAACAAUCUGCCAUAAAACUGGUAACUACGUUACUCUGGCGGAAACCAUGGUUACCAUGGGAAUUUUCUGUAGGAGAAAUAACGUGUUUCGAGACGAAAUAUGGACCAAACAGCUAAUACAAAUGCAAAGAGCGGAUCAGAAAGAAAAGCUUAAAGAUUUAAGGAAAGACAAAGUCACCCAUUGUAAAACUUUUUAUCACCUGUGAGCUGUAAAAUAUCAGUAAAUGACUUUUCUUGUGCCAUGGGAGACACACCUGCUUGGCUAAAUAAUAGAUGGGGGCUGCAACAGAAACUGAGACUCAUUGUCUCCAAGGUAGCCAUCUGAAUGCAUCACCUGAUCUGACCAGGACUCCUUUGCAAAGACCUUGUUUUAGAUUAGGUGACACCAUGUGGACGCUUUUGGACAUUACAGACCUACUAUUAUUGUACUAUAAUCAUGCAUGCAGAUCAGCAAAUAAUGUAAAAUCC